GGAGAAUUGGCAGAGUGGUAAUGCAGCCAGUUGCUAACCAGUACACCGGAAACGGUGCAGGGGUUCAAAUCCCUUAUUCUCCG
Molecule: transfer RNA, 83 nt
Filed under: Caudoviricetes sp.
Lineage: Duplodnaviria; Heunggongvirae; Uroviricota; Caudoviricetes
Description: tRNA-Ser
Rfam family: tRNA
About the family: Transfer RNA (tRNA) molecules are approximately 80 nucleotides in length. Their secondary structure includes four short double-helical elements and three loops (D, anti-codon, and T loops).
Source: RNAcentral